AUUGAACGCUGGCGGCAGGCUUAACACAUGCAAGUCGAGCGGAGUGAUGGUGCUUGCACUAUCACUUAGCGGCGGACGGGUGAGUAAUGCUUAGGAAUCUGCCUAUUAGUGGGGGACAACAUCUCGAAUGGGAUGCUAAUACCGCAUACGUCCUACGGUAGAAAGCAGGGGAUCACUUGUGUCCUUGCGCUAAUAGAUGAGCCUAAGUCGGAUUAGCUAGUUGGUGGGGUAAAGACCUAACAAGGGGACGAUCAGCAGCGGGUCUGAGAGGAUGAUCGGCCACACUGGGACUGAGACACGGCCCAGACUCCUACGGGAGGCAGCAGUGGGGAAUAUUGGACAAUGGGGCGAACCCUGAUCCAGCCAUGCCGCGUGUGUGAAGAAGGCCUUAUGGUUGUAAAGCACUUUAAGCGAGGAGGAGGCUCUUUUGGUUAAUACCCAAGAUGAGUGGACGUUACUCGCAGAAUAAGCACCGGCUAACUCUGUGCCAGCCGCCGCAGUAA
This 503-nucleotide ribosomal RNA is filed under the name uncultured bacterium. Its description in RNAcentral is "partial 16S ribosomal RNA". It matches the Rfam family "Bacterial small subunit ribosomal RNA", at positions 30 to 523 of the family's 1533-position model. The record is from RNAcentral.